UCUAGGACGUUAAAAAAAUCCGGAUACUACAAACCUUGUUUAAAAUUCAAAGAACUUGGCGGUAUCUUAUACAGUCAGGGGAACCUGUCCCUUAAUUCGAUAAUCCACGAUCGUUAUACCCUUCCUCGUUAUUCAGCUUGUGUACUGCCGUCGAAUGUAUACCUCAAAGAGAAAGUAUACAAUAAUGAGACCAUUGACGUCAGGUCAAAGUGCAGCCAAUGGAAGGGGGGAGAUGGGUUACAAUUUCAAUAAAAGCCAACAACCUAUAAAAAUAGGUAAAAAAGAUGGACUUGAAAGUAAUAAUUUCCACCAUAAAAUUAUGAAUAGGAAUCUAAGAUAUGUACACAUCGCCCGUCGCUCUCGUCGAAAGAUG
This 373-nucleotide ribosomal RNA is filed under the name Limnodrilus hoffmeisteri complex sp. V. Its description in RNAcentral is "partial 12S ribosomal RNA". It matches the Rfam family "Bacterial small subunit ribosomal RNA", at positions 875 to 1415 of the family's 1533-position model. The record is from RNAcentral. Lineage: Eukaryota; Metazoa; Annelida; Clitellata; Tubificida; Naididae.